CCUGGGACUUCCCCGAGGACACCGCAGCCGGCACCUGCCCCGCUCCCGGAGCACGAGCCUCGUCGGCAUCGCGGCCGCCAGCACCUCCUCCUCCACACCCAGAUGUUCCCAGAUGUGGCCUCAGGACCGGCGCUGGUGGCACCUCGGCUCCCUACAUCCCCCGUCCCAGCUGCAGAGCCACUGGGGGCCUUCUGCAGGGAAGGUCAGAGCAGCUGAGCCGGGCUGAAAAAUCUGCAAGCGUACAGCGCGCUAAGAGGGCUGUCCCCGUGCCUGGAGCUGGCUGGGAAAGGAGGCUGGAGGAGAUGGCAGGAAGGAUGCACAGCCCCUCUCCGCAGCACCAGCUCUCUGCCACACUGCCAGCCCGCCUGCACCAUGCAGCCAGCCCAGUCCUUCAGCACCUGUGUGUGAUGUCCCUGUGGAGGAGAGCAGAUGCUGGGCAAGCCUGGACCCCAUUUUUUUGUUGGUUCACCAUAGCAGGAGCUCAAGGUCACCCAGGCACGGCGUGGGCCCAGGUUUGGGCCAAUGCAGCAGCCCUCCUUAGCCACAGCAUCCCUCUCCUCGCUGCAUCCCUCCCUGCCCUGUGCUUGCCCUGUGCUUCUCUUCUGCCCGCCCCCCCCCCCCCCCCUUGGCACCACAGUGCUCGUCCUUCUUUCUAGAGGCAAACUGGACGGCUACGGUUGGAAACCAGCGACCUGGAAAGCCGAG
This is a long non-coding RNA of Cygnus olor (mute swan), 705 nucleotides long. RefSeq lists it as uncharacterized. The record is from RefSeq and is a predicted model, not a curated record. Lineage: Eukaryota; Metazoa; Chordata; Aves; Anseriformes; Anatidae. The transcript has 3 exons.